GCCACAACCGACAUUAUCGCCACCGUCUCACCAUGACCACCACCACUCGUACCUUCGUCACCACCAUCAUCUCCACCACUAACUCCACCACCACCACCAUAUUAUCCAAUUUCAUCACCUCGCCAUCAUGGUCAUCGCUACCUCUACCUCACCGUUUUAGUCGCCACUGUGACCAUCACCACAUUCUCCAUCCCGUCACCCUCACCAUGGCC
This 212-nucleotide long non-coding RNA is filed under the name Malus domestica (apple). RNAcentral's name for it is "long non-coding RNA (MDOM_LNC003628)". The record is from RNAcentral. Lineage: Eukaryota; Viridiplantae; Streptophyta; Magnoliopsida; Rosales; Rosaceae.